UACGUAGGGACCAAGCGUUGUCCGGAAUCAUUUGGGCGUAAAAGAGCGUGUAGGCGGCUUGUUAAGUCUUGUGUGAAAUCUCGGGGCUCAACCCCGAGCGGUCAUGAAGAAACUGGCAGGCUAGAGUGCGGGGAGAGGAGAGUGGAAUUCCUGGUGUAGCGGUGAAAUGCGCAGAUAUCAGGAAGAACACCCGUGGCGAAGGCGCUCUCUGGAACGCAACUGACGCUGAGACGCGAAAGCGUGGGGAGCAAACAGG
Molecule: ribosomal RNA, 256 nt
Filed under: uncultured bacterium
Lineage: Bacteria
Description: partial 16S ribosomal RNA
Rfam family: Bacterial small subunit ribosomal RNA
Source: RNAcentral